AAUAGUACAAUACUUUUUGAGAAUAUGUUCAUUGUAAGUGCGAUUUCUAAGAUAACUAAAACAAUGAAAAACAAAUAACAUAAUAAUAUUCAUUACGAAUGCCGCUAAUUAUCAAUAACACCUUUUUUUAUUCAAGUUUGAUAUGAUUACAUUAAAGAACACCUCUACUUUAUGUUGGAGGCAAUUACAAUUGAACCGGUAGAAGUGGAAUGUAGUGAAAGCCUUGUCUUACCACCCCAAAUAACCAAUGCUACCACCAACUUUCCCUAUAUCCCAUUAUAUUAUUGGAUGUUUGAGGAAAAAACACUGUGAACUCUCAUGCAUAUAAUUUUUAGAGAUUGUCAUGUUGGUCACAUGGAGGAACAAUGGAAUCUACCAUUUAUCCCCAACACUUCAUUUUCUUUCUCCAUCAGAGUAAUCAACCGAACCUCUUUAAAAAAAUUGUGUUUCUUUAUUUCUCUAUUUUUUAUACGAAUCUCCAUUUGGCUAUAGCAUGAUGACCUUUUUCUCCUUCUCAAAGGAAAAAAGAAAGAGGAUUCACUUGCUAUUGUAAAUUGACCCUACAAAAUUCAUCGCCAAACAAAAUGUAACAACUGACAGCGAAAUUGUAUCAACAGUAGGUGCAAAAGAGUCGACAUUACAUUUUUCAUGUGUCAAAUGUUUUUUGCGUGAGAGAUCCACUACAAUAAAGAGUACAUGAUGUAAUAUCAAAAAAAGUAUAUCAUGUUGGAUUAUGUGCUAAACCAGACUUUGCUUUACUAUAUUUUUUUUCUACUGCUAUAUAAGCCUUUUAUUAAACGUGAAAUGCCAAAAGGAAAUUCUAGUUAUGAAAUAACAUAGGAAUACCAGGAUAUUUACAUCAGUGCGCUCAAUAACUCCAAAAUUAAGGUGGAUCCCAAAACUAGACACGUUAGAAGGUUUGGUUCUGGAGUUUGAUACAAGAAAAACCUGUGGGUGAAGAACUGAUGGGCCCUGUUGGUAUCCAUCAAAAGGGCUUUUCAUUGGGCCCAGAGUCAUGGUCAACCGUCACAUCAUCCUACGCCUGACAUAAUGUUUUGCACGUUUUGCUUCUAAUGUGGGGAUCUAGAUCGCCUAAAGUCUAAAUCUUCUGGAAUCAUGCACUCGAACAUCGAAAACCGUCGAUCACGAACGAAAACCAGACCCCUAACGGACAGUGUAACCUAUUUUCAUCCCUAGUUGAGAACAAAUCAAGUUCCAAUCAUGGCUGGUGGAUCAUUCAAUGAAAUUGGUGCGAUCUCAACAAGGGGGGAAGUUAGGGUUUGAAGAGAAGCUGAAUAAGGAUAUAGAGAAGUUAGAGAGUUGUUGAUAUUAAUUGUUUUUGAAGUAAAAUAUCGCUUUUUUCCUUUGUUGUGAGUUUUUUAUGUUUGCAAACAAUACCCUCCUUCAUAAUUUUAAGUGAGUAGCACCAAAUAAAUAUAAGAAGUCAAUAUUUAAUUAUCCAACUCAAAUUCAAGCUUUGACAUAGAAUUAUCAAACUAGAGUAUAAUGAAGUGGAUUUGGAUAUGAGAUCAUUACGUUUCCACUUUUUCGUGAUUAACCUGUUGGAUUUUGGGCCCUUCAAGCGUGGAAACUUUUUCCUCCUCUAAAAUUUCCUUCUUUCUUUCGGGUUCAGAGAAAAAGCCAAAAUUUAAAUAUCCUUCUUGCACGCCAAACCAAAUUCCAAUAAUGAAUGUUCCAACACUUACACAUUCCAUUGAGUUGAAAAAGAAAAAAUAAA
Cicer arietinum (chickpea) is the source of this 1738-nucleotide non-coding RNA. The record is from RefSeq and is a predicted model, not a curated record. NCBI's taxonomy places the organism in Eukaryota, Viridiplantae, Streptophyta, Magnoliopsida, Fabales, Fabaceae.